This 391-nucleotide ribosomal RNA is filed under the name uncultured bacterium. RNAcentral describes it as "partial 16S ribosomal RNA". It matches the Rfam family "Bacterial small subunit ribosomal RNA", at positions 523 to 918 of the family's 1533-position model. The record is from RNAcentral.
AUACGGAGGAUCCGAGCGUUAUCCGGAUUUAUUGGGUUUAAGGGUGCGCAGGCGGCCAUUUAAGUUAGCGGUUAAAUCGUGGGGCUCAACCCCAUUCUGCCGUUGAUGCAGGGUGGCUUGAUUGCGGUCGAGGUUGGCGGAAUUCGUUGUGUAGCGGUGAAAUGCAUAGAUAUGACGAAGAACACCGAUUGCGUAGGCAGCUGACCAGACCGCAAAUGACGCUCAUGCACGAAAGUGCGGGGAUCGAACAGGAUUAGAUACCCUGGUAGUCCGCACAGUAAACGAUGAAUACUUGUUUUCGGCGAUAUAAUGUCGGAGGCAAAGCGAAAGCGAUAAGUAUUCCACCUGGGGAGUACGCCGGCAACGGUGAAACUUAAAGGAAUUGACGGGG